AAUAAGCAAAACAAGGGCGUAUGGGGGAUGCCUAGGCUCUCAGAGGCGAAGAAGGACGUGAUAAGCUGCGAAAAGCUGCGGGGACUGGCACAUACAGGUCGAUCCGCAGGUAUCCGAAUGGGGCAACCCACCGUACUGAAGGUACGGUACCCGAAAGGGGGCGAACCCGGGGAACUGAAACAUCUAAGUACCCGGAGGAAGAGAAAACAACAGUGAUUCCGACAGUAGCGGCGAGCGAACUCGGAUUAGCCCAAACCGGUGCCGUUACGGCGGCACCGGGGUUGUAGGACCGCGAGGUUCGAUGCGCAAUGAACUAGAACACGUUGGAAAGCGUGGCCAUAGACGGUGAUAGCCCGGUACAGGCAAGGAGCGUUAUCGAUAGCGGUAUCCUGAGUAGUGCGGGGCACGUGAAACCCUGUAUGAAUCCGGCGGGACCAUCCGCCAAGGCUAAAUACUCCUGAGAGACCGAUAGUGGACCAGUACCGUGA
RNAcentral lists this ribosomal RNA (488 nucleotides) under Planctomycetaceae bacterium. Its description in RNAcentral is "partial 23S ribosomal RNA". It matches the Rfam family "Bacterial large subunit ribosomal RNA", at positions 1 to 506 of the family's 2925-position model. Lineage: Bacteria; Pseudomonadati; Planctomycetota; Planctomycetia; Planctomycetales; Planctomycetaceae. The record is from RNAcentral.